ACUCCUACGGGAGGCAGCAGUGGGGAAUAUUGGACAAUGGGCGAAAGCCUGAUCCAGCAAGCCGCGUUGAGGGAUGACGGCCUUCGGGUUGUAAACCUCUUUCAGCAGGGACGAAGCGAAAGUGACGGUACCUGCAAAAAAGCACCGGCCAACUACGUGCCAGCAGCCGCGGUAAU
This 176-nucleotide ribosomal RNA is filed under the name uncultured Actinomycetales bacterium. RNAcentral describes it as "partial 16S ribosomal RNA". It matches the Rfam family "Bacterial small subunit ribosomal RNA", at positions 335 to 524 of the family's 1533-position model. Lineage: Bacteria; Bacillati; Actinomycetota; Actinomycetes; Actinomycetales. The record is from RNAcentral.